GAUGAACGCUGGCGGCGUGCUUAACACAUGCAAGUCGAACGAAGCAUUUGCGACAGAUUUUUUCGGAAUGAAGUUGCUUAUGACUGAGUGGCGGACGGGUGAGUAACGCGUGGGUAACCUGCCUUGUACUGGGGGAUAGCAGCUGGAAACGGCUGGUAAUACCGCAUAAGCGCACAAUGUUGCAUGACAUGGUGUGAAAAACUCCGGUGGUAUAAGAUGGACCCGCGUCUGAUUAGCUAGUUGGUGAGAUAACAGCCCACCAAGGCGACGAUCAGUAGCCGACCUGAGAGGGUGACCGGCCACAUUGGGACUGAGACACGGCCCAGACUCCUACGGGAAGCAGCAGUGGGGAAUAUUGCACAAUGGAGGAAACUCUGAUGCAGCGACGCCGCGUGAGUGAAGAAGUAAUUCGUUAUGUAAAGCUCUAUCAGCAGGGAAGAUAGUGACGGUACCUGACGAAGAAGCUCCGGCUAAAUACGUG
RNAcentral lists this ribosomal RNA (481 nucleotides) under uncultured bacterium. RNAcentral describes it as "partial 16S ribosomal RNA". It matches the Rfam family "Bacterial small subunit ribosomal RNA", at positions 28 to 507 of the family's 1533-position model. The record is from RNAcentral.